UCGUUGUGUGUUUUUGUUAUCCUUCAUUUUUUUGUCCUCAAGUUUUAUUGACCUGAUGAGUGAAACGCUUUUCAACUGAAUUUUAUAGUUAGGGGGUGGUUAGACGCAAAGCAAAUAAGUUUUAACCCGUCGUAUUCUGUGUGUGUGUGUGUUUCAAGUUAGGAGCUGUACAUCAGUGGUUGUUAUAUGUUGCUUUAUUCUUGUUUUUUUCGUUUAUAGUUUUGUGCAUAUAAAUAGGAAUCUGAUGUACAGUAAUUGUCGUCUGUUUAUGUAGUUCAUACGUGUUUCUCGUUUUUAUAUAGAUUAGACCGUUGGUUUUCCCAUUUGAAUGGUAUUACAUUACUAAUUUGGGGUCCCCUUAUAGCUUGCUGUUCGGUGUGAGCUCCGUGCUGAAGGGCGUACCUUGACCUAUAAUGGUUUACUUUUAUAAAUUGUUAUUUGGAUGGAGAGUUGUCUCAUUGGCACUCAUACACCAUCUUCCUAUAUCUAUUGUCAUUUGAACUGAUCUACAUUAUUUGUUGGCAUUUCUCUGCCAUCUUUGCUUCAUUUUGCGGUUUGGGUAUUGCUUAUUUUAGAAGGCCGUGCGGUGGCUUAUAGUUCUGAAUGGUUACUUUUUUUUUAUUCUCCAGUAAAGAGAUGUCUCAUUGACAAUUAUACCAAUUGUUCUUAUUUUUUUUUUUAUAAAAGUGAAACAAAACAGAAACGCCUACCGUGUAAAGCAAACCAGGAAGCUUAAUAUAUAAACAAUAAUAGUAUGAGUGUACAGCUAAAAUAU
RNAcentral lists this long non-coding RNA (775 nucleotides) under Mytilus galloprovincialis (Mediterranean mussel). Lineage: Eukaryota; Metazoa; Mollusca; Bivalvia; Mytilida; Mytilidae. The record is from RNAcentral.